UACGUAGGGGGCAAGCGUUGUCCGGAUUUAUUGGGCGUAAAGCGCUCGCAGGUGGUUUAUUGCGUCGGGCGUGAAAGACCCCGGCUCAACUGGGGAGGGUCGUGCGAAACGGGUGAACUAGAGGCCAGUAGGGGGAUGCGGAAUUCCGGGUGUAGUGGUGGAAUGCGUAGAGAUCCGGAGGAACACCAGCGGCGAAGGCGGCAUCCUGGACUGGUCCUGACACUCAGGAGCGAAAGCGUGGGGAGCGAUCCGG
RNAcentral lists this ribosomal RNA (253 nucleotides) under uncultured bacterium. Its description in RNAcentral is "partial 16S ribosomal RNA". It matches the Rfam family "Bacterial small subunit ribosomal RNA", at positions 524 to 776 of the family's 1533-position model. The record is from RNAcentral.